CAGGAUCGACGGACGUCUAAAGGGGUUUGCUUUGUCUCGGCGGGGUGCCACCGUACCGGCCCAAACAGUACAAUUGCAAACGACAAUCGUGCUCCGGUUGCUCUGGCUGCGUAAGCAGUUCGAGGAAUCGAAAUCUAAGCCCUUGCGCCUAGCCGCGUAAGGCGGGGUUCGCAGGUACCUGGCAACAGAAACCUGCACU
Molecule: transfer-messenger RNA, 199 nt
Filed under: Paracoccaceae bacterium
Lineage: Bacteria; Pseudomonadati; Pseudomonadota; Alphaproteobacteria; Rhodobacterales; Paracoccaceae
Description: Rhodobacteraceae bacterium (seawater metagenome) partial transfer-messenger RNA
Rfam family: Alphaproteobacteria transfer-messenger RNA
About the family: Bacterial tmRNA, also known as 10Sa RNA or SsrA, is named for its dual tRNA and mRNA-like properties. Its role is to liberate the mRNA from a stalled ribosome.
Source: RNAcentral